GAUGAACGCUGGCGGCGUGCUUAACACAUGCAAGUCGAACGAUGAAGCCCAGCUUGCUGGGUGGGUUAGUGGCGAACGGGUGAGUAACACGUGAGUAACCUGCCCUUAACUCUGGGAUAAGCCUGGGAAACUGGGUCUAAUACCGGAUAGGAGCGCCUACCGCAUGGUGGGUGUUGGAAAGAUUUAUCGGUUUUGGAUGGAUUCGCGGCCUAUCAGCUUGUUGGUGAGGUAAUGGCUCACCAAGGCGACGACGGGUAGCCGGCCUGAGAGGGGGACCGGCCACACUGGGACUGAGAGACGGCGCAGACGCCUACGGGAGGCAGCAGUGGGGAAUAUUGCACAAUGGGCGAAAGCCUGAUGCAGCGACGCCGCGUGAGGGAUGACGGCCUUCGGGUUGUAAACCUCUUUCAGUAGGGAAGAAGCGAAAGUGACGGUACCUGCAGAAGAAGCACCGGCUAACUACGUG
RNAcentral lists this ribosomal RNA (466 nucleotides) under uncultured bacterium. RNAcentral's name for it is "partial 16S ribosomal RNA". It matches the Rfam family "Bacterial small subunit ribosomal RNA", at positions 28 to 507 of the family's 1533-position model. The record is from RNAcentral.